Perognathus longimembris pacificus (Pacific pocket mouse) is the source of this 104-nucleotide small nuclear RNA. The record is from RefSeq and is a predicted model, not a curated record. Lineage: Eukaryota; Metazoa; Chordata; Mammalia; Rodentia; Heteromyidae.
GUGCUUGAUGCAGCGUCACAUAUACUAAAAUUGGAGCAAUACAGAGGUUAGCAUGGCCCCUGUGUAAAGGUAACACACAAAUUCAUGAAGCAUUCUAAAUUUUU